GAUGAACGCUGGCGGCGUGCUUAACACAUGCAAGUCAUGGGGGCCCGGAACGCGCAAGCUUGGGGCGAACCGGCGAACGGGUGCGUAACACGUGAGCAACCUACCCAGGUGUGGGGGAGUAGCCGUCCCAACGGACGGGUAAUACCGCAUACGCUCGACACGAGGCAUUUCGAGUCGAGGAAACCUUACGGGGCGACCAUGAGGGGCGUCGCGGCCUAUCAGCUAGUUGGCGAGGUAACGGCUCACCAAGGCUACGACGGGUAGCUGGUCUGAGAGGAUGACCAGCCACAUUGGGACGUGAGAAACGG
This 308-nucleotide ribosomal RNA is filed under the name uncultured bacterium. Its description in RNAcentral is "bacterial SSU rRNA". It matches the Rfam family "Bacterial small subunit ribosomal RNA", at positions 28 to 329 of the family's 1533-position model. The record is from RNAcentral.